Molecule: ribosomal RNA, 254 nt
Filed under: uncultured bacterium
Lineage: Bacteria
Description: partial 16S ribosomal RNA
Rfam family: Bacterial small subunit ribosomal RNA
Source: RNAcentral
GACGUAGGGCGCGAGCGUUGUCCGGAUUUAUUGGGCGUAAAGAGCUCGUAGGCGGCUUGUCGCGUCGUCCGUGAAAACUUGGGGCUCAACCCCAAGCUUGCGGUCGAUACGGGCAGGCUAGAGUUCGGUAGGGGAGACUGGAAUUCCUGGUGUAGGCGGUGAAAUGCGCAGAUAUCAGGAGGAACACCGGUGGCGAAGGCGGGUCUCUGGGCCGAUACUGACGCUGAGGAGCGAAAGCGUGGGGAGCGAACAGG